CCUACGGGGUGCUGCAGUGAGGAAUAUUGGUCAAUGGCCGUAAGGCUGAACCAGCCAAGUCGCGUGAAGGAAGAAGGAUCUAUGGUUUGUAAACUUCUUUUGUCAGGGAAGAGUAGAAGACGGUACCUGACGAAUAAGCCACGGCUAACUACGUGCCAGCAGCCGCGGUAAUACGUAGGUGGCAAGCGUUGUCCGGAUUUACUGGGUGUAAAGGGCGUGUAGCCGGGUUGACAAGUCAGAUGUGAAAUCCUGCGGCUUAACCGCAGAACUGCAUUUGAAACUGUUGAUCUUGAGUACUGGAGAGGCAGACGGAAUUCCUAGUGUAGCGGUGAAAUGCGUAGAUAUUAGGAGGAACACCAGUGGCGAAGGCGGUCUGCUGGACAGCAACUGACGGUGAGGCGCGAAAGCGUGGGGAGCAAACAGGAUUAGAUACCCGAGUAGUC
RNAcentral lists this ribosomal RNA (443 nucleotides) under uncultured bacterium. Its description in RNAcentral is "partial 16S ribosomal RNA". It matches the Rfam family "Bacterial small subunit ribosomal RNA", at positions 338 to 795 of the family's 1533-position model. The record is from RNAcentral.